RNAcentral lists this long non-coding RNA (226 nucleotides) under Brassica napus (rape). Its description in RNAcentral is "long non-coding RNA (BNAP_LNC024655)". Lineage: Eukaryota; Viridiplantae; Streptophyta; Magnoliopsida; Brassicales; Brassicaceae. The record is from RNAcentral.
UUAAGUGGUUUCAGGGGUAUUUUGUUUUUUUUUUUUUUUUUUGAUGAAAUUUCAAAUUUAUUGAUCAUACUAGAAAGAAUAUAUGUACAAGCCUAUGUGGUUACAACUAAAUAAUGUGAGUAAACAGCCAAACUAAGUAUCAUGAGCUCCAAACCACCUUUGCAUCAGACCUUGCAACCUUGGCCUUAAGUAAUAACGCGUAGACGUUAUACGGUUACGAACCGUC